CGCAGUAGGAUAGGCGAAGCGUGCGAUUGGAUUGCACGUCUAAGCAGUAAGGCUGAGUAUUAGGCAAAUCCGGUACUCGUUAAGGCUGAGCUGUGAUGGGGAGAAGACAUUGUGUCUUCGAGUCGUUGAUUUCACACUGCCGAGAAAAGCCUCUAGAUAGAAAAUAGGUGCCCGUACCGCAAACCGACACAGGUAGUCAAGAUGAGAAUUCUAAGGUGAGCGAGCGAACUCUCGUUAAGGAACUCGGCAAAAUGACCCCGUAACUUCGGGAGAAGGGGUGCUCUUUAGGGUUAACGCCCAGAAGAGCCGCAGUGAAUAGGCCCAAGCGACUGUUUAUCAAAAACACAGGUCUCUGCUAAACCGUAAGGUGAUGUAUAGGGGCUGACGCCUGCCCGGUGCUGGAAGGUUAAGAGGAGUGGUUAGCUUCUGCGAAGCUACGAAUCGAAGCCCCAGUAAACGGCGGCCGUAACUAUAACGGUCCUAAGGUAGCGAAAUUCCUUGUCGGGUAAGUUCCGACCCGCACGAAAGGCGUAACGAUUUGGGCACUGUCUCAACGAGAGACUCGGUGAAAUCAUAGUACCUGUGAAGAUGCAGGUUACCCGCGACAGGACGGAAAGACCCCGUGGAGCUUUACUGUAGCCUGAUAUUGAAAUUCGGCACAGCUUGUACAGGAUAGGUA
This 679-nucleotide ribosomal RNA is filed under the name Staphylococcus aureus. Its description in RNAcentral is "partial 23S ribosomal RNA". It matches the Rfam family "Bacterial large subunit ribosomal RNA", at positions 1473 to 2149 of the family's 2925-position model. Lineage: Bacteria; Bacillati; Bacillota; Bacilli; Caryophanales; Staphylococcaceae. The record is from RNAcentral.